GACGAACGCUGGCGGCGUGCUUAACACAUGCAAGUCGAACGGAAAGGCCUCUUUCGGGGGGUACUCGAGUGGCGAACGGGUGAGUAACACGUGAGUAACCUGCCCUUGACUUUGGAAUAACUUCAGGAAACUGGGGCUAAUACCGGAUAGGAGCUCCUGCUGCAUGGUGGGGGUUGGAAAGUUUCGGCGGUUGGGGAUGGACUCGCGGCUUAUCAGCUUGUUGGUGGGGUAGUGGCUUACCAAGGCUUUGACGGGUAGCCGGCCUGAGAGGGUGACCGGCCACAUUGGGACUGAGAUACGGCCCAGACUCCUACGGGAGGCAGCAGUGGGGAAUAUUGCACAAUGGGUGGAAGCCUGAUGCAGCAACGCCGUGUGCGGGAGGACGGCCUUCGGGUUGUAAACCGCUUUCGCUCAUGACGAAGCUUUGUGUGACGGUAGUGGGUAAAGAAGCACCGGCUAACUACGUG
This 467-nucleotide ribosomal RNA is filed under the name uncultured bacterium. RNAcentral's name for it is "partial 16S ribosomal RNA". It matches the Rfam family "Bacterial small subunit ribosomal RNA", at positions 28 to 507 of the family's 1533-position model. The record is from RNAcentral.